UGAUUAAAAUCACAAGUGAGUCAUUACAAAAGCAGAAAUCCACUGCAGAAACGAGGGUUUGGGGGAAACCGAAAGCUCAGACAACGCUAGAGAAGGAGGCAGCAGUGGGAAGGGUUGGGUGUUGCCCCCCUCCGCAACCCAUGAUCUCCGAUUUCCCCCCGAAAUUCAACAGCCCUUACAUCUGGGAUGGAACUCCGAUCGUCUGAUCAUCCGAUUGCUUGUUGACUGGACUGCUUCUUCUACAAUAUUUUCUUUUUGGGUUGAGACUUACCGUAUCUUGGCGGGGUAAUCUCCGGAGGCUUGGCGGUAGUUUUCACCGUUGAAGCAGCCGCGUUGUUUGCAGCCAUGGCGAAUGCAAGUUCACCAUUUUGGCUGUCACAAUCGGUGGUGCUGGUGACCUGAGAACAUGGGAUGGAGAGGACCAAGAUGACGACGGUGUUAGAAGUAUACUUUUUCCGGUAACCAUUGGGAUCAAUCAAACAAGAUCUCGGUUUUGAACAAUUCAUCAGCCCUCACCAUCAUUCAACCUUUUUAUGUUACUUGAGAUAUCAAGGCGAACUUAUUUCAAAAGAUGAAGCGUAGAAGAAAUUUUACAACUCUAGCUUGGGAUGAUUGGUUUAAGUUCAACGGUUGUGUUAAACUACCAUUUUCUUGUGUGUUUUUUUUACCGAAUGUAUUAUCUUCAUCCUACUAAAUCAAUAACAUCAUUUCUCUAACUUUAUUUGUAGGAGAUGCGUUAAACAUAAAUAGAAGAUAAAUUUAACCUC
Molecule: long non-coding RNA, 767 nt
Filed under: Helianthus annuus (common sunflower)
Lineage: Eukaryota; Viridiplantae; Streptophyta; Magnoliopsida; Asterales; Asteraceae
Source: RNAcentral